Odocoileus virginianus texanus is the source of this 1462-nucleotide non-coding RNA. The record is from RefSeq and is a predicted model, not a curated record. Lineage: Eukaryota; Metazoa; Chordata; Mammalia; Artiodactyla; Cervidae.
CACAAGGAGGCCGGUGUGGCCCUUGGCCGGGUCAUAGGGGCACUUUCCCUUGCCAUCCUCAAACUCGCUCCGCUCCAGGGUGAAGCUCCAGAGCCUCCACGCUGAAGGCAAACAGGGCCUCCCGGGCCCCGACAUACAGGAGCCCCGUCUGCUCGGUCAGGGUCAGGGUCAGGAAGUCCUGGAUGCCUGUCUGGGAGAAGCGCCGCACCACCGUGGCUAGCUCUGCAGGGACAAGGCCGGAGUGACCAGGGCUGGGGGAGGUAAAUCUGGGCUGGAGAGGAGGAAGGAAGGAUAUCUCAGCCACAGCUUCCGGCCAGAGGAAACCAUCAGACUGAUGGCUCUCACUCUCAGGGUCAGUCGCCACCUCCCCAUCCCGCCGCCCCACCUCCCGCCACCCCCGCUUCCUCCGCUGCGGCUUCCUUCUCUGCUCUGUUGCACACUGCCCCCACCAGGGUCCAGCCUUGCCCUGGCCCCUGAUCCAGCCAGGCAGGAUGGACGGAAGUUGCGAGCGUUCCUUGUCUGAGAGAACCCUUCCCUCCAGUGGGUCCCAAAUGCAGGCUGCGAGGGGUACAAGCAGAGCCGGCCAUGGGAUGUGGAGACGGAAUCAGGCUGGGAGACCAGGGCAGGGAGGGCGGGGGAGAGCAGAGGCUGGGGGCCAGAGAUGGUGCCACAGCCUUGGGGCUGGGGAGACCUGUUGCCGUCCGUCGAGCAGGGGGCCACGACAUUCAUGCAGCCACAGGAUUCCUGUCAACCCCCAAAUAGCUGCUGGACUGUCCCCAGGGUCCCCCUAAACCAUCCUUAGUGUUUGGAGCCAACGAUGGGCCCAGACACAGACCAGCAAGGGAGGGCUUCGUUAGCACUGAGAGGAGCCUGUGGGAGGUGAGCUCAUCCCGGGUCCCCAGAGCGCACGACGCAAACACCUGACAUCACCUCUGCAUACAGGAGUGUGUGCACAGAGGGCUGUCAGGCCCACUGUGCCCUCCCACAGGAGCGUGUGCACACACACCCCGUCCGGGGCGUCGGAGGAUCAGGUCAGCAGGAGGGGGAGUCUAUCAUAUCCGGGUUGCUAAGGGGGCUCCUGGGGGCACAGAGCUUGAAGACCUGGGAGUGGGUAGUAGCACCUUUUGCUUCGUGUUUAUCUUGGCUCAGGUUUCCCUCUUUAGGCUCUCAGUGCUAGGGAUAAUUCCAGAAGUGAGAUGUAGGGAGACAGGUGCAGAAUGGUCACUCUUGGAUAACAAGGCAGCCAGGUCCUAAGCGUAAGGAGGGCCACCCCAGAUCCUGGCCUGGACGACCAGUUCUGGGUUCCUAGAGUCACUCACUCACAUUUCUUAGAAAGCUGUGUCACAUACAUCAGGGCCUUGCGCCCAACUGCAGAAUAAAGCCAGACGUUCCAGAAGGCAAUUCCUUAGCACCCCUCUUCCCCCAGCAGUCCCUCCUGGCCGCCUGCUCCCCAGCCUUCAGA